This 460-nucleotide ribosomal RNA is filed under the name uncultured bacterium. Its description in RNAcentral is "partial 16S ribosomal RNA". It matches the Rfam family "Bacterial small subunit ribosomal RNA", at positions 338 to 795 of the family's 1533-position model. The record is from RNAcentral.
CCUACGGGAGGCUGCAGUGAGGAAUAUUGGUCAAUGGGCGCGAGCCUGAACCAGCCAAGUAGCGUGAAGGAUGACUGCCCUACGGGUUGUAAACUUCUUUUAUAAAGGAAUAAAGUGAGGCACGUGUGCCUUUUUGUGUGUACUUUAUGAAUAAGGAUCGGCUAACUCCGUGCCAGCAGCCGCGGUAAUACGGAGGAUCCGAGCGUUAUCCGGAUUUAUUGGGUUUAAAGGGAGCGUAGAUGGGUUGUUAAGUCAGUUGUGAAAGUUUGCGGCUCAACCGUAAAAUGGCAAUUGAUACUGGCAGCCUUGAGUACAGGUGAGGUAGGCGGAAUGCGUGGUGUAGCGGUGAAAUGCUUAGAUAUCACGAAGAACUCCGAUUGCGAAGGCAGCCUACUAGACUGCCACUGACAUUGAUGCACGAAAGUGUGGGUAUCAAACAGGAUUAGAUACCCUAGUAGUC